AGAAUCAACGCUGGCGGCGUGCCUAACACAUGCAAGUCGAACGAGAAAGUGGAGCAAUCCAUGAGUAAAGUGGCGCACGGGUGAGUAACACGUGACUAACCUACCCUUGAGUGGGGGAUAACCUAGAGAAAUCUGGGCUAAUACCGCAUAAUACCUUCGGGUCAAAGGAGCAAUUCGCUUAAGGAGGGGGUCGCGGCCGAUUAGUUAGUUGGCGGGGUAAUGGCCCACCAAGACUAUGAUCGGUAUCCGGCCUGAGAGGGCGCACGGACACACUGGAACUGAAACAUGGUCCAGACUCCUACGGGAGGCAGCAGUGGGAAUUUUGCGCAAUGGGGGAAACCCUGACGCAGCAACGCCGCGUGGAGGAUGAAGUCCCUUGGGACGUAAACUCCUUUCGAUCGGGAAGAUAAUGACGGUACCGGAAGAAGAAGCCCCGGCUAACUCGUGCCAGCAGCCGC
Molecule: ribosomal RNA, 458 nt
Filed under: uncultured bacterium
Lineage: Bacteria
Description: SSU rRNA
Rfam family: Bacterial small subunit ribosomal RNA
Source: RNAcentral